CUUGUACUCCCUCCGUCCCUAAAUUCUUAUCUUAAAUUUGUCUAAAUACGAAUGUAUCUAGUUAUGUUUAGUGUUAGAUACAUCUGUAUCUAGAUAAAUAUAAGACAAAAUUUUUGAAACGGAAGGAGUACUAU
Triticum aestivum (bread wheat) is the source of this 134-nucleotide non-coding RNA. Lineage: Eukaryota; Viridiplantae; Streptophyta; Magnoliopsida; Poales; Poaceae. The record is from Rfam.